AGCAGCCGCGGUAAUUCCAGCUCCAAUAGCGUAUAUUAAAGUUGUUGCAGUUAAAAAGCUCGUAGUUGAAUUUCGGGAUCAAUAUGUUGGUCGUGCCUCGGUACGUACUAGCAUAUUGGUUUCUCCUUUCUGAAGAACCAUGAUGUCAUUUAUUUGGUGUCGUGGGGAAUCAGGACUGUUACUUUGAAAAAAUUAGAGUGUUUAAAGCAGGCUCACGCUUGAAUACAUUAGCAUGGAAUAAUGAAAUAGGACGUUUGAUUCUAUUUUGUUGGUUUCUAGGAUCGACGUAAUGAUUAAUAGGGAUAGUUGGGGGCAUUAGUAUUCAAUUGUCAGAGGUGAAAUUCUUGGAUUUAUUGAAGACUAACUACUGCGAAAGCAUUUGCCAAGGAUGUUUUCAUUAAUCAAGAACGAAAGUUAGGGGAUCGAAGACGAUCAGAUACCGUCGUAGUCUUAACCAUAAACUAUGCCGACUA
This 473-nucleotide unclassified non-coding RNA is filed under the name uncultured Glomus. Its description in RNAcentral is "SSU rRNA". It matches the Rfam family "Eukaryotic small subunit ribosomal RNA", at positions 569 to 1048 of the family's 1831-position model. Lineage: Eukaryota; Fungi; Glomeromycota; Glomeromycetes; Glomerales; Glomeraceae. The record is from RNAcentral.